Cercocebus atys (sooty mangabey) is the source of this 2011-nucleotide long non-coding RNA. RefSeq lists it as uncharacterized. NCBI's taxonomy places the organism in Eukaryota, Metazoa, Chordata, Mammalia, Primates, Cercopithecidae. The record is from RefSeq and is a predicted model, not a curated record. The transcript has 3 exons.
UCCGUGGAACCUUUCCGGGAGGCGAGCCGCGGGCUGCUGGGCGCGGAGGCUGGAGCCGCGAGAGGUUCGGCUGCUGAAGCGGCCACUGCCUGCCCGAGCCCGGCUCCGCGCCGCGCGUCCCCGCCGCCGCCGGCACUGUGCACCCACCUACUCCUUGGGCAUUGAGAUAAGGAAACUGAAGAACUGAGAGGUUAUGUAACUAACUUGUCCGAGGUUAUACAAAUAGCAGGUGAAAGAGCCUGGCUUCAAACUCAGAGUCAGUUCUAUGCCUUCUGGAGUACCCUACAUUUAGCAAUUUCUAUGCACCCCUACUACUAAAAAUUGGGAGCAAACUUGAUCUCUUCUUUGGAAUGAGAAUCCUAGAAACAUGGAAUGCAAAAUCCUCUGUACAUCUCACCAGGAGACAUCAGACCCUUAUGUAAAAACCAUUCCUAGAAGACUGCUUUGAUACAGUUCUAGAAGAGCACAUGCAUUUGGCUAUUCAGGAUCUAGCAACAGCUGCUUGCCCUCCCCUGCUCACUCAUUGUUAUAAAGAUCAAAUGAGGUGACAGCUACAAAAGGACUUCAUAACCUUAAAAGGUAAUUACAUCAAGUGCUAUUGGAUUAUAAAAACAACUGGUCCAAAUUAAAGAUGGUAUACACUCGUAGAAAUAACCAAGAGGUAUUGAAUUCCAUUGUUGGAUGUAUUAAAUAAAAGCCUAGAAAACCAUCAUUCUUGGAGAGACUAUUAGCUUGGAACGUACUAGGUAGACAAACCUUUGCUGUCCCACUAACAGCAUUAAAGCAUUGAACAACAAAACACUUAUAUGUUUAUGAAAAUUUACCGUAAUUUCAAGAGACAGGAAAGAUAGUAUGAAGAGUAAAAUAGACUCAUGGAAUUGAAUGUAACAAAAAAGUGUAAGAAAUUAUGACACAGAAACUGGAACUCUUCUGUCUUCUACAUAUAAAUGCAAAAAACCUGCCUAUUGGAAGUUCAUGUAAAGACUUUUUAAGAUUCAGUCAUCCUUUAAAGUUGAAUUUCUUUAAAUGUGCCCGGUUAGCACUGGUGUUCAUCAUCAUUCAGCUCCACAGUUUUCAGGAGAGAAUGCUCCCCUAAGGCCAUUGUCAGAACUUCCAGCCUUGGUCCCUGCUGUAAAUGGAGUUUUAGAAAUAAGCUUAUGGUUAUACAGUUUUGAAUCAUGCAAAAUCUUUUUUGAAACUGUUCACCCCAUCUUCCUUCUACCACCAAUACCCCAAUAUAAUACAAUACUAGCAAAAUUGAGAGAGGAUUACUUCUUAAGAAAAUAAAAUUAAAAUACACCAGUUGAAAUCUUAAAAUACAACAUUUCUAUGAUAAUUGAAGACUAAAAAUCUUUUUUUGAAUUUCGAAAUGUUGCAAAAGACUAGAAAACUGGAAUAUUUAGUGCCUUUUUCCAGGGGCCACUUUCAUAUUGAAUUGAUUUGAAGCAAUUGUCUGUGCUGUAUUAUGCUGCUGGCAUGUAGGAGGAGAAAGGAAACUUCAGAGGAACUAAUUCAGUGAACUGUGGUCCUGGCACACAAUUAGGAUGAUGGUACUUUGUCUGACCAAGUUCCAGUGUGGUCAAGUCCAUGGCUCCUACACUUAGCUACCAGCUGCAGGUCGAAGUGAAGAAAAUUCUAAAACAAACAAUCCAGAAGUAACAAGUGAAUUUUUGAAAAGAAUUUUUAACUUUAUUUUUUCUAUUUGGAGAAUGAGAUUGACAAUAAAAGUGUUAAUAAGGAAUUGACAUGUAUUGAGAACAUUUUUUUUUUGGUGCCAGGUAUUUAUGGUGCUAAGCUUUUAUAUACAUUAUCUCAUUUAAUCUCCAUUAUAAUCCUAAAAGACAAGUACUAUUAAUACUGUAUAUUACCAAUGAGGAGACUGGAGCACGAAGAGGAUAAGUAACUUUCCCAAGGUCACACAGCUCAUAUCUGCCUCAUAGAAAUGCCAGGAAAGGCAAAACAACAACAAAUCUCAGUGGUAUGCAUUGAUAUUCAAGAAAAUGGGACCGGA